RNAcentral lists this ribosomal RNA (361 nucleotides) under uncultured eukaryote. Its description in RNAcentral is "partial 18S ribosomal RNA". It matches the Rfam family "Eukaryotic small subunit ribosomal RNA", at positions 592 to 975 of the family's 1831-position model. The record is from RNAcentral.
CAAUAGCAUAUAUUAACGUUGUUGCAGUUGAAAAGCUCGUAGUUGAACUUUUGGUAGGAGCGACCUGGCCUUGGGCGCAUGCCCUUGUUUGCUGUGUGUCGUAUCUGGCCAUCCUUUUCUUCUUUUUGGAAGGAAUCUUUUACUGUGAGUAAACUGGAGUGCUCAAAACAAGACGUUUGUUUGGUACAUUAAAGCAUGGAAUAAUAAGAUAGGACCUGGUUACUAUUUUGUUGGUUUGCAUAGCUAGGUAAUGAUUAACAGGGACAGUUGGGGGUAUUCGUAUUUAAUUGUCAGAGGUGAAAUUCUUGGAUUUAUGAAAGACGAACGACUGCGAAAGCAUUUACCAAGGAUGUUUUCAUUA